GACGAACGCUGGCGGCGCGCCUAACACAUGCAAGUCGAACGAGCGAGAGAGAGCUUGCUUUCUCCAGCGAGUGGCGAACGGGUGAGUAACGCGUGAGGAACCUGCCUCAAAGAGGGGGACAACAGUUGGAAACGACUGCUAAUACCGCAUAAGCCCACAGGUCGGCAUCGACCAGAGGGAAAAGGAGCAAUCCGCUUUGAGAUGGCCUCGCGUCCGAUUAGCUAGUUGGUGAGGUAACGGCCCACCAAGGCAACGAUCGGUAGCCGGACUGAGAGGUUGAACGGCCACAUUGGGACUGAGACACGGCCCAGACUCCUACGGGAGGCAGCAGUGGGGAAUAUUGCACAAUGGGGGAAACCCUGAUGCAGCGACGCCGCGUGGAGGAAGAAGGUCUUCGGAUUGUAAACUCCUGUUGUUGAGGAAGAUAAUGACGGUACUCAACAAGGAAGUGACGGCUAACUACGUG
This 466-nucleotide ribosomal RNA is filed under the name uncultured bacterium. RNAcentral's name for it is "partial 16S ribosomal RNA". It matches the Rfam family "Bacterial small subunit ribosomal RNA", at positions 28 to 507 of the family's 1533-position model. The record is from RNAcentral.